GAUAUUACAUGACGUGAUACUUUUCUUCUUGGGUUUUUAUACGAUCCAUUCCAACGUGAGUCGGGCGGAAGAAGGGGCGUGAUUGGGUUGAUGACGUCAGAGUGAGGGCGGAAGUGACAGUCACCGAGUCAGAUGAGUAGUGAAAGCGGUUGUGGAGAAUAGAGAACGACGUGCUGUUCUUAUUAGAUUUGUCGUUCGGUAUGUAUGUCCGUUCAGGUUGGUUUGUGAUUUAAAUAUGUGUUUAGUCUUAUUGUUAUUGUGAUAUGAACACUGUAGAACCGAAACGUUGGCAAAGUGUGUUUUCCCUGUGUACUUUGAUCUGCUUCAUAUUUGCUGUGUUCCUCUUAUUUGUGUGGGUAACGUAACAUUUUGGGAUUUUUUUUUUGUUAUGUGAAAUAUGUAUAUAUACAGGUUUAGUCACUAAAGUGAGAAUUAAAUGUGAAUUUCAAAUUUAAGGUCAAAAUAAAGGGAUUGUAAACAUUCUCUAAGUCAGCUAUGCUAUGGCCUGCAAAUUCUUUCCACUUUCGCUGUUUUGUCCCAAAAUAUGAAAUUCGGUUUACAUGUACUCUGAAUUACCUUUCCAGUAUGUCCGUAAUGAGCACAAAUUGAUGUGCUAUUUCAUUUUUUCAAUUACGUUUAUUUCACUUUGCCAAUAAAUUUAGUGGCAUACUGGCAAUGACAACACUUGUUACAAUGUACAAAUAUUUGUAUUGUGUUACAGCUUAGAACAGUAGGGUAGGACAUAGCUUUCAUCAUGUCAAGAAGCUUCAAUCCCUUUGAUGAAGAUGAGGAUACUGACUUCAAGCCAGUGAAGUGGAACAAUGCAGUGGACACAGAAGAAAGUGAAACAGAUGGUGUGUAUGACAAACAAAGAGCUUUACAACAAGAAGUGAUGAGAAGAACACAGGCUACCGUAGAUAGUAGUAAUAGAUCGGUGUCCCUCCUCCAUGAAUCUGAGCAAAUUGGAUUGGAAACUGCAGAGGUAAAAUGAAAAUAUGUAAAUGUUCUCAUUGCAAAAAGCUGGUGCAUUUAAUUGG
Pelobates cultripes (western spadefoot toad) is the source of this 1037-nucleotide non-coding RNA. Lineage: Eukaryota; Metazoa; Chordata; Amphibia; Anura; Pelobatidae. The record is from the annotation of a GenBank genome assembly.